UACGGGGGGGGCAAGCGUUGUUCGGAAUUACUGGGCGUAAAGGGCUCGUAGGCGGCCAACUAAGUCAGACGUGAAAUCCCUCGGCUUAACCGGGGAACUGCAUCUGAUACUGGAUGGCUUGAGAUUGGGAGAGGGAUGCGGAAUUCCAGGUGUAGCGGUGAAAUGCGUAGAUAUCAGGAGGAACACCAAUGGCGAAGGCAGCUCGCUGGAACGGUACUGACGCUGAGGCGCGAAAGCGUGGGGAGCAAACAGG
This 253-nucleotide ribosomal RNA is filed under the name uncultured bacterium. RNAcentral's name for it is "partial 16S ribosomal RNA". It matches the Rfam family "Bacterial small subunit ribosomal RNA", at positions 524 to 776 of the family's 1533-position model. The record is from RNAcentral.